This 75-nucleotide antisense RNA is filed under the name Streptantibioticus cattleyicolor NRRL 8057 = DSM 46488. RNAcentral's name for it is "Streptomyces cattleya NRRL 8057 ASpks TB sRNA". It matches the Rfam family "ASpks TB sRNA". Lineage: Bacteria; Bacillati; Actinomycetota; Actinomycetes; Kitasatosporales; Streptomycetaceae. The record is from Rfam by way of RNAcentral.
CUUGACGGACCCCAGCCACAACGGCCGCCCGGCGGGCCGGUCCUGGCCGUAGGUGGCCAGCAGCGCCUGCGCCUC